RNAcentral lists this unclassified non-coding RNA (307 nucleotides) under Clavicipitaceae sp. RNAcentral describes it as "partial contains 5.8S ribosomal RNA, internal transcribed spacer 2, and large subunit ribosomal RNA". The stretch from base 1 to 71 matches the Rfam family "5.8S ribosomal RNA", at positions 84 to 154 of the family's 154-position model. The record is from RNAcentral. Lineage: Eukaryota; Fungi; Ascomycota; Sordariomycetes; Hypocreales; Clavicipitaceae.
GUGAGUCAUCGAAUCUUUGAACGCACAUUGCGCCCGCCAGUAUUCUGGCGGGCAUGCCUGUUCGAGCGUCAUUUCAACCCUCAAGACCCCUGUGGACUUGGUGUUGGGGACCGGCGGCGCCUCUCUGGUGUCACCGCCCCCUAAAUGAAUUGGCGGCCUCGUCGCGGCCCUCCUCUGCGUAGUAGCACACACCUCGCAACAGGAGCCCGACGGCGGCCACUGCCGUAAAACGCCCAAACUUUUUUAGAGUCGACCUCGAAUCAGGUAGGAAUACCCGCUGAACUUAAGCAUAUCAAUAAGCGGAGGA